UCAAAAACAUCUCUCCUUGUCAGUAUUAGGAGUAGGCCCUGCCCGGUGUCUAAACUUAGAUAAACGGCGGUGUUAAACCUUAAAGUAGCAUAAUAAGUUGCCCUUUAAUUGGGGGAUGGAAUGAAUGGGUUGACGAUGGAAAGACUGUCUCCGGAAGAGAUAUUGAAAUUUUCUUCCUAGUGAAAAGCCUGGGAUGUCGUUGAAAGACGAGAAGACCCCGUCGAGCUUGAAUAAGCUGUCUUCGUUAGCAGGCUGUCUUAAAGUUUUGUUGGGGCAACAGGGGAGAAAUAAAACCUCUCUUUUUUGAUGAUAAAGAUCCAUAUUUUAUGAUAAGAAGAAAAAGCUACCGCGGGGAUAACAGCGUAAGACUGCCUGGGAGGCCUUAUCUAAGGCAGUAAGUGCGACCUCGAUGUUGGCUUAGGGUAAACUUUUUGGUGCAGGAGCUAAAAGAGUAGGAACUGUUCGUCCUUUAAUCCCCUA
Molecule: ribosomal RNA, 480 nt
Filed under: Fragum mundum
Lineage: Eukaryota; Metazoa; Mollusca; Bivalvia; Cardiida; Cardiidae
Description: partial 16S ribosomal RNA
Rfam family: Bacterial large subunit ribosomal RNA
Source: RNAcentral